Molecule: long non-coding RNA, 2582 nt
Organism: Nicotiana tabacum (common tobacco)
Lineage: Eukaryota; Viridiplantae; Streptophyta; Magnoliopsida; Solanales; Solanaceae
Source: RefSeq, a predicted model, not a curated record
UCUCCUUCUUCGAUUUUUCUAUGUCAAUUGCAUCUUCAUCUCUCUUGCUAUCUGUCUCAUGUAUCUCUCUCUUACUAUUCUGGUUUUGUUUUAGAAUUUUUCAAUUUUGGCUCGAGUUUUGCUCUGGCGAUGUUGUAUUUCCGACUAACAGAUAAGUGUUCAUUCUUUAAGGAUUUUCCGUCUUCUCCUCCAAUUCCAUAGACGAUAUUUAUUGGUUGAGUCACUGCUAACUUUGGAAUCUCUGAUGGCUAUUCUAGAAUUAUUUGCGCAUUAAAGUUUAUUCAUAAUUGAGUUUGCUCAUGCAUUUUCUGCUUUGAAUAUUAUGUGUCAAAUUUCUUGAUUUUCUCCAGAUUUCCUAAAAGGACGUUCUUAGAGAGGUUUUGAAGAUCCGGGGGGGACUGUAAUUGGCUCUCAGUAGAGAUUAAGAAGUAUUCGACGAGAAUAGAGAAAUACUCUGUGAACAAAAUCCCAAAGAUGUACCUUUGGACCCAACACUCAGCAAAUAGGAAAACGACAUUGUGGCAAGUUAUUCAUAUUUUACUUAUUAUAGAACAAAAGAGGAAUAAAAGGUUUGAUUAUUUUUUUCAUCUUCACAUGAUCAAUGACUUAAUUCAUCCAGUCUAUUACCUGGAGUUUAUCAUUGACGUUUUCAAUAUUGCCAUAGGUACUAACAAUCAAUUGUAGUUGGAGCUUCUAUUACCGGACUACUUAUAUGAUAAAAUAAUUCACUAGCACAUUAAAAAUCUGGCCCAAAGAAAAGAGAAGGAAAAUGGCACUUCGCUAAGAGAAUGUAAUGAAGCUAAAAUUAUCUCUCUUUUCAUGUUUCUAAUUUGUGUCUAUUUAAUGUCUGCUAGGUCAGAUUUUGUUGUUGAAUCUCCUUUUAUUUCACUUAAUUGCUCCAAUAGACCUAAGGCAGCCCAUUUAUAUUCGAUAAGUUUUGCUGGAAUGCUUGAUGAAGUGAAUUGGAUGAAUCCAAGAAAUUGAAUUGCAUUAUGAGACCCUUUUGUUCCUUAGUAAAUCAUAAUUUUCUUUCAUUUAUUUCUUUUUCUAUUUAUUUGUUUUAUGAGCGUCCUCAUUGGUACAUAUAGCCACUUAUAACUGCUUCGGAAGAACCUGUGGGCAACCUGCUUAAUGAAUCUGCUCAAAAGGUAAACAUUUUAUUGAAAUAUGUUUUUAUAUCCCUAUGAUCUUUCUCUGGUAUAUUAUCGGAUAUAUGGUAAGCAUUAUUGUGGUUCUCCUCCUCUGAUACAAGUGUCUGAUGCAAAUGUGCUUUGAUCAAUUGCUAUAGACUAUAAUAAGGGUGAAAAGUGAAUUAACUUUUAAUUCAACAAUCCUUCCUCAUUGAUAGUUUGAAGUAAUUGUAUAAUCAUGUGAAAUGGCUAGGUGUUGAUAUUCGACAGAUGGACUUAUAGUACUAACACUUCAUGAUGAAUGGCUAAGUGAAUCUUGCAAUUCUGUAGCUAGAUUUUUGAUAAGCUUGGUGUGACUAAAAGAGAGGAUCAAGUUCUUUUAGAAUAGAUAUUGGUUAGUAAUAAUCAAAAUGUUCCUUCAAGGACAUCCGAUAAAUUAACAAUAAAAAAGAAUAUAUUUUGGUUUUUCCAAAAAAUCUGACCAUUGUGACUUGAUUAGUGUUCCUUUAGACGAAUAAUCCAAAAUAUUUUUUCAUUUUAGAUGAAUUUUCACUUUUAAUAGCUUAUGUACCUGUGAGCCAGUUUCGCAUGUGAUUUGGAUGCAUUACUUCAUAUUGUAGGUAUUCUUGAUGAAAAAGAGAAAAAGAACAGUUAGGAAAGAAUAAUUAACCCAAAGUAGAAUUAGACUGAUUUAAAAUUCUAUCAAUACGAAAUGCUGCAUUCAGAUUCUUUUGGGAAGAGUAAGUGCUUUUUGUGGUUUCAAGGGUAUUCGUGGCUGAUGUCCCACUACGAGUUUUGAUUUUUGGAAACUGAAUAUUGCCAUGUUUGACUUGGAGAUAUUCUUUUCGGAUUAAAAGUUUGUCUUGAAGAUAGGGUUAUGAUGCUCAUUAACCUAACUCCGUUCCUAGGCUUAAAAUCCUGUUGAGAAGAUAUACAUAAAUUUAAUUUAGAUUAUAUAAUCUAAGGUUUAAUGUCUAUGUUUGACUUAUUUAUUAGCAUAUAGCAAAAAAGCCUAACUUUGUUGGGAUGGAGAAGGAACAAGCACAAUGAGAACUUUUAGCUUUCCUUGAGGCUGUUCAACCCAGUUUGAUGGUUUUGUUUGAGAAGAGGAGAAUGUUAUUCAAGAUUAAGUUUAUGCAGUUGAGGGCCGGGGAUGGUGAUUCUGUCAUACUAUCAUUGUUCUUUCUAUUGAAAAUGGACAGAGGGCUCGACUAACUGUCUUGAGUGCCAGAUUAGAGUCAUUGAUGCAUAUGGUUUUGUGUUGUCCAAGUUAAAUUGGACAUAGCAUGGUGUAAUACUUUGGGUGCUUCAUCUCUUUACCGCACAUUCCCUCAAGAAAAUCUCAUGUUUCUAACGUUCCUUUGUUACUUUUCAACGUUCUUGUAUGGGUUUGUCAUAUUUGGAUUUACAUGGUUUCUUCACUUUUUAUUAAGUAAAAAUAAAAUGUAUCAA